This 382-nucleotide ribosomal RNA is filed under the name uncultured bacterium. RNAcentral's name for it is "bacterial SSU rRNA". It matches the Rfam family "Bacterial small subunit ribosomal RNA", at positions 518 to 898 of the family's 1533-position model. The record is from RNAcentral.
CGGUAAUACGGAGGGUGCAAGCGUUGUUCGGAAUUAUUGGGCGUAAAGCGCGUGCAGGCGGCUCGCUAAGUCUGAUGUGAAAGCCCCGGGCUCAACCCGGGAAGUGCAUUGGAAACUGGCGAACUUGAGUACGGGAGAGGGAAGUGGAAUUCCGAGUGUAGGGGUGAAAUCCGUAGAUAUUCGGAGGAACACCAGUGGCGAAGGCGGCUUCCUGGACCGAUACUGACGCUGAGACGCGAAAGCGUGGGGAGCAAACAGGAUUAGAUACCCUGGUAGUCCACGCCGUAAACGAUGGGCACUAGGUGUCGCGGGUAUUGACCCCUGCGGUACCGUAGCUAACGCAUUAAGUGCCCCGCCUGGGGAGUACGGCCGCAAGGCUAAA